Molecule: ribosomal RNA, 497 nt
Filed under: uncultured bacterium
Lineage: Bacteria
Description: partial 16S ribosomal RNA
Rfam family: Bacterial small subunit ribosomal RNA
Source: RNAcentral
GAUGAACGCUGGCGGCGUGCCUAAUACAUGCAAGUCGAGCGAACAGAUGAGGAGCUUGCUCCUCUGACGUUAGCGGCGGACGGGUGAGUAACACGUGGAUAACCUACCUAUAAGACUGGGAUAACUUCGGGAAACCGGAGCUAAUACCGGAUAAUAUAUUGAACCGCAUGGUUCAAUAGUGAAGGACGGUUUUGCUGUCACUUAUAGAUGGAUCCGCGCCGCAUUAGCUAGUUGGUAAGGUAACGGCUUACCAAGGCGACGAUGCGUAGCCGACCUGAGAGGGUGAUCGGCCACACUGGAACUGAGACACGGUCCAGACUCCUACGGGAGGCAGCAGUAGGGAAUCUUCCGCAAAGGGCGAAAGCCUGACGGAGCAACGCCGCGUGAGUGAUGAAGGUCUUCGGAUCGUAAAACUCUGUUAUUAGGGAAGAACAAAUGUGUAAGUAACUAUGCACGUCUUGACGGUACCUAAUCAGAAAGCCACGGCUAACUACGUG